This 75-nucleotide transfer RNA is filed under the name Chloroflexota bacterium. RNAcentral describes it as "tRNA-Asn". It matches the Rfam family "tRNA". Rfam says of the family: Transfer RNA (tRNA) molecules are approximately 80 nucleotides in length. Their secondary structure includes four short double-helical elements and three loops (D, anti-codon, and T loops). Further hydrogen bonds mediate the characteristic L-shaped molecular structure. tRNAs have two regions of fundamental functional importance: the anti-codon, which is responsible for specific mRNA codon recognition, and the 3' end, to which the tRNAs corresponding amino acid is attached (by aminoacyl-tRNA synthetases). tRNAs cope with the degeneracy of the genetic code in two manners: having more than one tRNA (with a specific anti-codon) for a particular amino acid; and 'wobble' base-pairing, i.e. permitting non-standard base-pairing at the 3rd anti-codon position. The record is from RNAcentral. Lineage: Bacteria; Bacillati; Chloroflexota.
UCCCCGAUAGCUCAAUGGUAGAGCAGACGGCUGUUAACCGUAAGGUUCAUGGUUCGAGUCCAUGUCGGGGAGCCA